UAAUAAUGAACAGAUUUUCAUUCUUGUAAAGAUUCACUUCCCAGCUGGGCACUAUGGCCCACGCCUGUAAUCCCAGCACUUUGGGAGGCCAAGGUGGGCGGAUCAUGAGGUAAGGAGAUCGAGACCAUCCUGGCCAACAUGGUGAAACCCCAUCUCUACUAAAAUACAAAAAACUAGGUGUGGUGGCAUGCACCUGUAAUUCCAGCUACUUGGGAGGCUGAGGCAGGGG
Molecule: long non-coding RNA, 229 nt
Filed under: Homo sapiens (human)
Lineage: Eukaryota; Metazoa; Chordata; Mammalia; Primates; Hominidae
Description: LHRI_LNC1540.1
Source: RNAcentral